CUGAUAAUGUGGUGAAUUUUCAAGUCCCAAUGUGUAUGGUGAAUUUCCUUUUUCAAGUAAGUUAAUCAGAGUUAAUGUAUUCAGUUGAGGUAUCAGUAUUACUUAUGCUAAUGCAUUGGUUAUGGUCUUCGAUUAGCAUGAUGAGUGAAUUUGGAAUGAUGUAUGUUGAAUCGUUCUGUUGACUAGAAGAGAGAAUUUCU
RNAcentral lists this long non-coding RNA (200 nucleotides) under Gossypium barbadense (sea-island cotton). Its description in RNAcentral is "long non-coding RNA (GBAR_LNC009088)". Lineage: Eukaryota; Viridiplantae; Streptophyta; Magnoliopsida; Malvales; Malvaceae. The record is from RNAcentral.